GUCGAACGGCAGCACGGGGGCAACCCUGGUGGCGAGUGGCGAACGGGUGAGUAAUACAUCGGAACGUGUCCUGUAGUGGGGGAUAGCCCGGCGAAAGCCGGAUUAAUACCGCAUACGAUCUACGGAAGAAAGCGGGGGAUCGCAAGACCUCGCGCUAUGGGGGCGGCCGAUGGCAGAUUAGCUAGUUGGUGGGGUAAAGGCCUACCAAGGCGACGAUCUGUAGCUGGUCUGAGAGGACGACCAGCCACACUGGGACUGAGACACGGCCCAGACUCCUACGGGAGGCAGCAGUGGGGAAUUUUGGACAAUGGGGGAAACCCUGAUCCAGCAAUGCCGCGUGUGUGAAGAAGGCCUUCGGGUUGUAAAGCACUUUUGUCCGGAAAGAAAACAUAUGCACUAAUACUGUGUGUGGAUGACGGUACCGGAAGAAUAAGCACCGGCUAACUACGUGCCAGCAGCCGCG
Molecule: ribosomal RNA, 463 nt
Filed under: uncultured soil bacterium
Lineage: Bacteria
Description: bacterial SSU rRNA
Rfam family: Bacterial small subunit ribosomal RNA
Source: RNAcentral